CAAGCAUCUGAUUUUUUCUGUCGAUAAUGUUUACAAUGAGAACGAGAAGAAACUCCUAAUCAUAUUGUUCAUCGGAUGCCUUCCUAAACGAUCCAAAGGCCAAGUAUAUUUAUGCGGAAAUGUGGUAUGCGCAUGGUACUUCAAUCCAGACAUCCGUGAAAUACAUGUGUUCUACAACAGUUUGUAAAGGUUACCAACAGCUGAGUUCCAGCUACUACGACAUCCUGUCACAAAAGAGGAAAUCCAGGUUUCUCAACCCUCUGAAAUUGAAGACAAGAUUGUGGAAGAG
This is a long non-coding RNA of Zea mays, 289 nucleotides long. RefSeq lists it as uncharacterized. The record is from RefSeq and is a predicted model, not a curated record. NCBI's taxonomy places the organism in Eukaryota, Viridiplantae, Streptophyta, Magnoliopsida, Poales, Poaceae. The transcript is spliced from 3 exons.